UACGGAGGGAGCUAGUGUUGUUCGGAAUUACUGGGCGUAAAGCGCACGUAGGCGGCUUCGUAAGUUAGAGGUGAAAGCCCGGGGCUCAACUCCGGAAUUGCCUUUAAGACUGCAUCGCUAGAAUUGUGGAGAGGUAAGUGGAAUUCCGAGUGUAGAGGUGAAAUUCGUAGAUAUUCGGAAGAACACCAGUGGCGAAGGCGACUUACUGGACACAUAUUGACGCUGAGGUGCGAAAGCGUGGGGAGCAAACAGG
RNAcentral lists this ribosomal RNA (253 nucleotides) under uncultured bacterium. RNAcentral's name for it is "partial 16S ribosomal RNA". It matches the Rfam family "Bacterial small subunit ribosomal RNA", at positions 524 to 776 of the family's 1533-position model. The record is from RNAcentral.